Molecule: ribosomal RNA, 496 nt
Filed under: uncultured bacterium
Lineage: Bacteria
Description: partial 16S ribosomal RNA
Rfam family: Bacterial small subunit ribosomal RNA
Source: RNAcentral
AUGAACGCUGGCGGCGUGCCUAAUACAUGCAAGUCGCGCGAACAGACGAGGAGCUUGCUCCUCUGACGUUAGCGGCGGACGGGUGAGUAACACGUGGAUAACCUACCUAUAAGACUGGGAUAACUUCGGGAAACCGGAGCUAAUACCGGAUAAUAUAUUGAACCGCAUGGUUCAAUAGUGAAAGGCGGUUUUGCUGUCACUUAUAGAUGGAUCCGCGCCGCAUUAGCUAGUUGGUAAGGUAACGGCUUACCAAGGCAACGAUGCGUAGCCGACCUGAGAGGGUGAUCGGCCACACUGGAACUGAGACACGGUCCAGACUCCUACGGGAGGCAGCAGUAGGGAAUCUUCCGCAAUGGGCGAAAGCUUGACGGAGCAACGCCGCGUGAGUGAUGAAGGUCUUCGGAUCGUAAAACUCUGUUAUUAGGGAAGAACAAAUGUGUAAGUAACUAUGCACGUCUUGACGGUACCUAAUCAGAAAGCCACGGCUAACUACGUG